RNAcentral lists this long non-coding RNA (1083 nucleotides) under Salmo salar (Atlantic salmon). RNAcentral's name for it is "lncRNA (ENSSSAG00000089024.1)". The record is from RNAcentral. Lineage: Eukaryota; Metazoa; Chordata; Actinopteri; Salmoniformes; Salmonidae.
AUAGAGGUUAAGCAAAGAAUGUAAAAGAAGGAUGACCUGUCAGAGCUGUCAAAGAAAGCACCCCACUAUCCUGCACAUUGAAGGAAGAGAGAGAUUUAGAUCUCAAAAGGCAGAUAUGAGUGGUGUAGCAGUAAAGCGGGAGGAGAUUGUCAGCAGUGCUCUUGUCUCACUGGAAGCUGGUGACGAUACCGGGGCCGGUACAGAUUGUGCACUUGCAAUUGUGCCAGUUCAAGUAAAGGUGGCAAAUGGAAGCAAGUCUGUGUUAACCUAUGCGUUUCUCGAUUCUGGUAGCUCGGCAACAUUUUGUACGGAGAGACUCAUGAGGCACCUGAAUGCUAAAUGCAGUGAGACUGAAAUUCUGCUACGCACAAUGGGGCAGGAGAGUCCUACCAAGAGCUUUGAGAUAUCUGGAUUAGAGAUUGGCAACGUGGAAGGCAACACAUUUCUUGCAUUACCAAAGGUCUUGUCCGGAGCGUCUUGGUUAAGACCAAGACCAAUAUCUUACAGAGACCUAUCAAUAAACUCUGUCUGCUCCUGGAGGCAGCGUAGUGAGACACACACACACACACAUACACACACAGUGCUCCAUCUUUGAAUCACGUGCACCUCUGAUUCGUUGAUGUUGUACUCUUACAUUCUUUGAUGUCGUAGUCAUACAUUUUUUGGACGUCAUACUCUUGACAUUUAACACCUGAACACUUCAACUCAGACUGAGAUCUACGGACUAUUUUCCUAUAUGGCACCUUGUAUAUUUGUAUAUAGCUAUGAACUGUAAUAGUGCUCUGGUAUAGAAUGUUUUGUGUAUUGGCUCUACGGUUGAAUAUUAAGUAAUUGUUGUCCAUUCAGUGCAGUCAACAAUUAGGGGCCGGUAUGUUAGAGCCUAUUUGGACAUAUUUGUAUAAAAGACAGAACAUUCAGAGCUCCAUGUAUAUUUGUGUAAAUAUGAAUGUAUAUGAUGAAAUAUUAGGUACGUACCUUUAUGAUUUAUAUUUACCUGUUUGAGAUGUAUUCAUUUGUUGUUAGUGUAACUUAGUUUUGUCCCCCCCCUCUUGCCCAUUCAUUGUACUGCAGUAAGUGUGUUAG